Molecule: long non-coding RNA, 422 nt
Filed under: Ananas comosus (pineapple)
Lineage: Eukaryota; Viridiplantae; Streptophyta; Magnoliopsida; Poales; Bromeliaceae
Description: long non-coding RNA (ACOM_LNC025948)
Source: RNAcentral
UUGAACAUAUCUAGUACGCCGUAAAUCAAUUUUAAAAUAUAUAUAAAAAGAAUAGGAUCAGCUUGCUCAUGUUCGGUUCGUUAACAGCUCUAAUACAUUUAUUUUAUAUUUAUAUAUACAAAUAAAUAAUUAUAUGUUAUUAUUUAAUUUUUAGUCUAAUUUAAAUAUAAAGUCUAAUUCACUUAUAAAGUCUUAUAUAUAUAAAGUUUCAAUUGUUAGAUUAAAAUUUAAUAGUUAAGAUCUCAUAAAUUUAUUUUCUAUAAAUAUUCUUUCUAAUCUUUUUAAUUUGUUAUUCGUAAGUUAGCUCGUGUUCGGUUCGUUAUAAACGAGCCAAACAAGUGUUGAAUUUUUCGGUUCGAUAUUUUAAUGAGCCGGCCCGUGUUUAGCUUGUUACAGAAGCCGGCGUCAACUCGCUCGCUUUU